GACGAACGCUGGCGGCGUGCUUAACACAUGCAAGUCGAACGAUGAAGCCUAGCUUGCUGGGUGGAUUAGUGGCGAACGGGUGAGUAACACGUGAGUAACCUGCCCCUUACUCUGGGAUAAGCGCUGGAAACGGCGUCUAAUACUGGAUAUUACCUUUCAUCGCAUGAUGUUUGGUGGAAAGAUUUUUCGGUUUGGGAUGGACUCGCGGCCUAUCAGCUUGAUGGUGAGGUAGUGGCUCACCAUGUCGACGACGGGUAGCCGGCCUGAGAGGGUGACCGGCCACACUGGGACUGAGACACGGCCCAGACUCCUACGGGAGGCAGCAGUGGGGAAUAUUGCACAAUGGGCGCAAGCCUGAUGCAGCAACGCCGCGUGAGGGAUGACGGCCUUCGGGUUGUAAACCUCUUUUAGUAGGGAAGAAGCGUAAGUGACGGUACCUACAGAAAAAGCACCGGCUAACUACGUG
This 466-nucleotide ribosomal RNA is filed under the name uncultured bacterium. Its description in RNAcentral is "partial 16S ribosomal RNA". It matches the Rfam family "Bacterial small subunit ribosomal RNA", at positions 28 to 507 of the family's 1533-position model. The record is from RNAcentral.